AGCUCGAUAGCGUAACGGUAGCGCGUCUGUCCCCAAGACAGAAAGAUCUCGGUUCGAAUCCGGGUCGAGCUA
This 72-nucleotide transfer RNA is filed under the name Stereum hirsutum FP-91666 SS1. Its description in RNAcentral is "tRNA-Trp (CCA) (tRNA-Trp-CCA-3-1)". It matches the Rfam family "tRNA". From Rfam's summary of the family: Transfer RNA (tRNA) molecules are approximately 80 nucleotides in length. Their secondary structure includes four short double-helical elements and three loops (D, anti-codon, and T loops). The record is from RNAcentral. Lineage: Eukaryota; Fungi; Basidiomycota; Agaricomycetes; Russulales; Stereaceae.